Neofelis nebulosa (Clouded leopard) is the source of this 1952-nucleotide long non-coding RNA. RefSeq lists it as uncharacterized. The transcript is spliced from 2 exons. Lineage: Eukaryota; Metazoa; Chordata; Mammalia; Carnivora; Felidae. The record is from RefSeq and is a predicted model, not a curated record.
AAAGCUAGUAUAAUUGAAACAUAAAAUCUGAAGUUAAAACUUAUAUGGCCUUUGAUGUGUAAUUGUGAUUUCACCUUUCUCCAGAUGUUGCUUUUUCAACACUUCAAUUUCAAUGAUGGAGGUCCAAGUCACCUUCAAAGUUGUCUGGUAAAAACUUACAAAGGAGAAACUUAAAAUACUUUAAGGUCAUGACAAACCAGUGUGAAAGAGAAUCCUAACACCUAGAAGUGAAACUGCAUCAUCCACCCAGCCUGGAAAGAAAAAAGAAAGCUAAAAACCACUACAGAAUAAGAAUGCAGAGUUUGAGAAAACCCCUAAGGUGAAUUCUGAACAACAACAACAACAAAAAAAAGAGCCCCCAACAUAAGAAGUGCAUACUGUAUGCAAGAACCACUAAUGGAAAGAGUUUGCCAGCACUUAUGUCAUUACCUCACCAAAGAUGGCUGAUCCCAUGUAAAGAAUGGGCCUUUCAACAAUCCAGGAACGUAACUGUUCACUCCAGACCUCAAGUUAUUUCAUCCUUUUUCACAUGCUUGUCAGCUGUAGCAUCUCAUCAAGUCUUGUCAGAAGCCUUCUUUAAAAAUUCUCAGGAAGAAAAACAAUGGAGAUGUGGUGUGAAACGGGGACGAUGAGUCUGGAAGCACACAAGGCUUGGAGGCUAAGCACUAAUGUAUUCAGAGCCCACAUGGCAGCAUGGUGAGAUGAACAUAACAAGGACCUUGACCUUGGUGACAGUCUGCAGGAGUUCUGCCACUUCAGCGCUAUAACUUGGAGCAAAUCCUUCCAUCAGUGUAAAUGUCACCUUUCCCCCACCCCCAUCUAAAGAAUGCACGUAUCACCACUUCUUUGGACAAGAAUGAGCAUUAAAGACAAUAUAUGUUGAGUGUCUAGUAUAUACAUCCUAUACAUGCUCUUUCCCAUUGCUUUGCAACAUCAUCACUUCCUUUUUCUCAUACCUAUCCAUAGUCUCAGCUAAAUAUUAAAUGACCAAAGCUGCUUUCUGUUCCCACUAAAUGGGCCUGAUAUACCAUGGGAUCCUAAAUCUCACAUCUUAACAUGAAACACUGGGUCAUAUGGAGCCAUUUUUUCAAAUUGUAUCUCUAACAUCCAAAUUGUGUUUUAACUAUCAGUCUGAACUAACUUCACACAGAAAGAAAACUAUCAUAGCUCAUGACUUCCAGAUAAUUAUUCUCAUAUUCAUGAUCAAUGUUGAAUUCAAAUCUGACUUCAAAAUAUUCUUCAUGGAAAGAGGUUUUAUCUUGUGUAAGAUCAUGUGUUUCCCUAGUUUAUGAAGUGCCUUCACCUACAUCCACAUUUACACCUUCCAACCCUGGUCAGAUUAUUCUCCCUGACAUCUGCAUGCUCCCAAAGUAUACUAUCUUUCAUUUAACAUUCAAAUGCCUAUUUUAGACCAGAUCUCACAUAACUGUUGGGACCCAGCCCUCUCCUUAAUGAUUUCAAGGAUUCUAGGGAGGGUGCUAAAAAGUGCCCAAUGAUUCCUUGUUACUUUUGAUCCUAAACCCCAACUGCAACCUAAUUCUCAUCAUCUCCCUUCUAUUUCACUUCACCCCUACUGCUGAUGCAGCCCUCUCUAUUCAGCCUCCAAAACACAUGAACAUCUGGGUGUCAUGCGAGCACAUCUUUACCAGAGAAAGAUUCUAAUGGCGAAUAGGAAACUACUUAAAAUAGACAAUCAGACAUCAAAGCUCACGCCCCCUUCCUUCUCGCCACUGGAGGAGCAACUUCUCAGGUCUACCCUACUGCUAGGGCCCACUCUCUCACCACUCCUGCCCAAACAAAAGCAAAAUAAAAAAAUUUCCCUCCAGCCUCAAUUAAAAACAAAAAGUUCUUAUUUCUUUAUGCAGAGCAAUUUUAGUCCCCAGGUCCUAACCACUCCUAUCUCAAUUAGCCCUUUACCUUGACCAAACCGAAAAAAAAAAAAAAAAAAAACA